AGGUCAUAAUGUGCGAGGUGAGGUGGUUGGAGCUGAAGGCCCUUCUUGGAACUCUUCUUCCUUCAUCACCAUAGAACGAUUUGAUUGUAAAUCGAAUUAUCAAUGAAGCAAAAUGAGCUUUUUAUUCUUGCAUCUCCCAUGUGACUGGGUAGUAUUUUUUUAAGAACUUCUCAUUAAUUGGCAACUUGUGAAUAAUACCGGUUCAAUCUCUAAGAUGGUAUGCCCCCUUUCUGAGGACUUUAUGAACGACAAACGAUCCUUCCCAAUUCGGCGACCAUUUACCGAACCUAGGGUCUUUAAUUCCCACGGGUAACACAGUUUGCCAAACUAACUGGUACGUAUAAAAGCACACCACAAAGUAGCACACAAAUAUCCUAUUAAUUUUCCUUAUUAACACUAGGAUUUGUCAAUUGUAGCAUAUGAAAAUAAGGGUCUUUCCCACAGAAGAUUGUUUUAUCCAAAUACUUAAAAUGUCACAAAAACAGGGUGGCUGUCUCCACUGACCAGCCACCGAACAAUAAUUAUUAGACUAACUUACACUUAUCCAAAUGCAACGAAAUGUUAUACACAUAAACUAGACACACCAAGAUAUGCUCACACAUAUUUUUGGGAUUUUUGGAGUUGGUUAGCUAUUUAAAUUAAAUCGGACAAAACAGGACCUCAACAAGUUUUAAAUAAUACCAAUAGAUUUUAAUUCACAAGUUAAGAAAACGAGUUAGGGGAAAUGCUAUCCACCACCAAAUAAUCAUGCAAACAUGUUAUGUUUCAUUCAAAUUCCUUUUAUUUCUGGAUGAAGAUGCUCAAGUUGGCUCAAUGUUAGAACACAACCUAUUACUCUUUCUUACGUAGUAUGUUAAGAGAAUGGCGUUUUCAACUUAACGUAGUCCCUAACAUGCAAUCUAGAAUGGCGUGUUCAUAGAUUUAACAAGUAGAAAUCAUUAAGAACGAAAAGAGUUUGAGUCAUCACAAGGCAUGGUAAGUACUGGCGUUGUCUUACUUAUCCUAGAAAUCGGUUCACAUGUUAACCACAAUUAACAAGUGCUACUCUAGAACAUAUGUAGGUCCUCAUUCAAUAAGGGCAGGUAAACAUAUAUUCAUAGCAUUAAAAUCCUAGAUAUGCUCACUAUGUAUGCAUCCAUAGAAACA
Molecule: long non-coding RNA, 1146 nt
Filed under: Malus domestica (apple)
Lineage: Eukaryota; Viridiplantae; Streptophyta; Magnoliopsida; Rosales; Rosaceae
Description: long non-coding RNA (MDOM_LNC018939)
Source: RNAcentral